Molecule: ribosomal RNA, 271 nt
Filed under: uncultured bacterium
Lineage: Bacteria
Description: partial 16S ribosomal RNA
Rfam family: Bacterial small subunit ribosomal RNA
Source: RNAcentral
AAUCAACGCUGGCGGCGUGCCUCAGACAUGCAAGUCGAACGAUUAAAGCUCUCUUCGGAGAGUGCAUAAAGUGGCGCACGGGUGAGUAACACGUAAGUAAUCUACCUUCGAGUGGGGAAUAACGUCCGGAACGGACGCUAAUACCGCAUAAUGCAGCGGCAUCGCAAGAAUGACAGUUGUUAAAGAUUUAUCGCUUGAAGAGGAGCUUGCGGCAGAUUAGCUAGUUGGUAAGGUAAUGGCUUACCAAGGCUACGAUCUGUAACGGUCUAAG